This 516-nucleotide ribosomal RNA is filed under the name uncultured Gammaproteobacteria bacterium. RNAcentral describes it as "bacterial SSU rRNA". It matches the Rfam family "Bacterial small subunit ribosomal RNA", at positions 9 to 523 of the family's 1533-position model. Lineage: Bacteria; Pseudomonadati; Pseudomonadota; Gammaproteobacteria. The record is from RNAcentral.
GAGUUUGAUCAUGGCUCAGAUUGAACGCUGGCGGCAGGCUUAACACAUGCAAGUCGAGCGCGAAAGGGUUUCGGCCUGAGUAGAGCGGCGGACGGGUGAGUAACGCGUGGGAAUCUGCCUGGUAAUGGGGGACAACAUCUCGAAAGGGAUGCUAAUACCGCAUACGCCCUAAGGGGGAAAGUGGGGGAUCUUCGGACCUCACGUUAUCAGAUGAGCCCGCGUCGGAUUAGCUAGUAGGUGGGGUAAAGGCCCACCUAGGCGACGAUCCGUAACUGGUCUGAGAGGAUGAUCAGUCACACUGGAACUGAGACACGGUCCAGACUCCUACGGGAGGCAGCAGUGGGGAAUAUUGGACAAUGGGGGCAACCCUGAUCCAGCCAUGCCGCGUGUGUGAAGAAGGCCUUCGGGUUGUAAAGCACUUUAAGUUGGGAGGAAGGCUAUUUGGCGAAUACCCAAGUAGAUUGACGUUACCAACAGAAUAAGCACCGGCUAACUCCGUGCCAGCAGCCGCGGUAA